GUUUGAUCCUGGCUCAGAUUGAACGCUGGCGGCAUGCUUUACACAUGCAAGUCGGACGGCAGCACAGAGAAGCUUGCUUCUUGGGUGGCGAGUGGCGAACGGGUGAGCAACAUAUCGGAACGUACCGAGCAGUGGGGGAUAACUAAUCGAAAGAUUAGCUAAUACCGCAUAUAUUCUGAGGAAGAAAGCAGGGGACCAUUUGGCCUUGCGCUGUUUGAGCGGCCGAUAUCUGAUUAGCUGGUUGGUGGGGUAAAGGCCUACCAAGGCGACGAUCAGUAGCGGGUCUGAGAGGAUGAUCCGCCACACUGGGACUGAGACACGGCCCAGACUCCUACGGGAGGCAGCAGAAGGG
RNAcentral lists this ribosomal RNA (352 nucleotides) under uncultured Neisseria sp. RNAcentral's name for it is "bacterial SSU rRNA". It matches the Rfam family "Bacterial small subunit ribosomal RNA", at positions 11 to 359 of the family's 1533-position model. Lineage: Bacteria; Pseudomonadati; Pseudomonadota; Betaproteobacteria; Neisseriales; Neisseriaceae. The record is from RNAcentral.